Molecule: ribosomal RNA, 441 nt
Filed under: uncultured bacterium
Lineage: Bacteria
Description: partial 16S ribosomal RNA
Rfam family: Bacterial small subunit ribosomal RNA
Source: RNAcentral
CCUACGGGAGGCAGCAGUGGGGGAUAUUGCACAAUGGGGGGAACCCUGAUGCAGCGACGCCGCGUGGGUGAAGGAGUGCUUCGGCAUGUAAAGCCCUAUCGGCAGGGAAGAAGCAAGACGGUACCUGACUAAGAAGCCCCGGCUAACUACGUGCCAGCAGCCGCGGUAAUACGUAGGGGGCGAGCGUUAUCCGGGUUCACUGGGUGUAAAGGGAGCGUAGACGGCCAUGCAAGCCAGGGGUGAAAGCCCGGGGCCCAACCCCGGGACUGCCCUUGGAACUGUGCGGCUAGAGUGCGGGAGGGGCAGGCGGAAUUCCUGGGGUAGCGGUGAAAUGCGUAGAUAUCAGGAGGAACACCGGCGGCGAAGGCGGCCUGCUGGACUGCGACUGACGUUGAGGCUCGAAAGCGUGGGGAGCGAACAGGAUUAGAUACCCGGGUAGUC